This is a long non-coding RNA of Girardinichthys multiradiatus, 376 nucleotides long. RefSeq lists it as uncharacterized. Lineage: Eukaryota; Metazoa; Chordata; Actinopteri; Cyprinodontiformes; Goodeidae. The transcript is spliced from 2 exons. The record is from RefSeq and is a predicted model, not a curated record.
ACCUGACCAGCAUCUUCUGAAUUCUGGAAGCUCCACUUGUUUUUUUGAGCCUUGAUUAACUAUCUGUCUCUUCCCUUCGUCAUAGGCUGUUCACGCCAAACUGGGUUUCCCCCUCCUGAACUCACCUCCCAUCAAGAUUGGAAUCUGCUGCAUCUAGCAGCCGCUCUUGCGAGUCCUCCAGCCGAAAGCGCAACCUGUCCACCCACCUUGCUACCUGGAACAUCAGAGAACUCCAACCGUUUCCGCGCAGGCUCACACCCCAGACUUGAACUGGCUCUUUCCCCCUGGCGGAUCGAUUGCCUCCCGAAAACCUGACUCCUGAUCACUCUGCUCACCUCGUUCCUAAGACUGAAAAGAAAUAAAAACUUUAAAUUUA